AAAUCCGAACAAUGCAUACCAUCAAUGACGAAAUCGAUAAGUUGUUGCAAAAUCCAACUUGCAGUAGCCAUGAUUAACCUUGGAGCUUUUUCUUCUCUGAAAAAAAAGUUUUGUUUUUUAUUAGGAGAUAGAUCUCUGUUAGUAUCCUUUAACAUGUUAUAGGAGCUAACCACUUGUUAGUCUUGUUGUUUUAAAGAGCUAAUCUAACCAUUAAUUCUCAUUCAGUUUCUUUCUUGCUUCUCUCUUGGAAAUUAUAUAUAUAUGUGUGUAUAUACAUAAUAUGUGCAUUUUUCCAAAUUAAACCUGCGAUUAUUUUAUCCAGAGAAAAAAGGAAAAAAAUACAGAGAAUCCGUGAAUCAUUCAUGAAUAAAAUACCCAUAAGUAGCCAAGAAAAUAUUGCAUCAUAAAAAUUUUCUCGAGAACCAAACAGAGGACGCGAUGGUACUACUUACUUCCCAGUAGGCAACGUCCAAGCCACCAACCUCCAUCGAGCUUGAUAAACGUCCCCCGGUCUCUCGGUUCUCAACCCUUUGAAAGAAAGUGGUGACCCAAAAUAGAUAUGCUUAAGCCCGUUUGGACUUUGGAGGGAAAUGAACAGCCUCCAACUGGGCUGGAUUCAUAAAGCAAACAUCUUUUAGAUACCCAUCAUCGCCAGUCGGUUUUCGUAUCAAAAUGGUGUCGAUUCCAUGAGAAAGUAAGGAAAGUAAACACAGUUUUUCUUCUUUUCAAGAUUACUCGCCCCCCGAGUUUACAAGAUGGAAUGGAAAACAGUCACGAACCUCUCAAGUCUCCUGCAGGAUAGUCUAGAGAAGAAAGCCCCAAUAGCAGAGCAGGAAAAAUACUCCGUGCUGAUAUUAUCCAUUUUCGACUCUUCCAGGACACUUCUCUUUGCAAUCGCCUUAUAGCCUUCUGUGAGGAAGUCGGUGACAUCAACUAUGCUUACCAGGUGUUUGAUAAAAUGCCUAGCAAGAAUACCAUUUCUUCCAACAGUGCGAUCAGCUCGUUACUACAAAGAGGGUACGAGGAAAAAGCAUUGAACGUUUUUAAAAUGAUGAUUUGGUAGGGAAUUUCGACCACAUAUUUCACUUUUACCGGCAUUUUUUUAGUCUUCGGGAACAGUUGUCGGACAUUGAGGAGGCAUUUCGAGUUCUUUUUGAACAUGCCUCAUAAUUGGUGGGCUAGCGAAGACGGGUUGGUUCUUGGUAACACUCAAGAUGUUUAAAUUGAUGCCUAUGGAAGGGAUUAGAAUUCAUUUGUAAAGUCUUUUAAGUGUUUGGGAUAAGAGAAGUGGAGAAUUCAAGUUUAUGAAGAUCCUAGUGAUGAGUUUUCUGAGUAAUAUGUGUCUAAUGAAUUAUUCUAUGUAUCUAAGAAUGUUAAUGCAAUUUCAUUUUCGUACUUUAUAUUGGUCUUCAUAUAUAUGUAAUAAAUUCACGUUUUAGACCACUUAUCUUGAUAUUAAAAUGCAAUAUAGUUCUUCGC
RNAcentral lists this long non-coding RNA (1479 nucleotides) under Carica papaya (papaya). RNAcentral's name for it is "long non-coding RNA (CPAP_LNC003187)". The record is from RNAcentral. Lineage: Eukaryota; Viridiplantae; Streptophyta; Magnoliopsida; Brassicales; Caricaceae.